UACGGAGGGAGCUAGCGUUGUUCGGAAUUACUGGGCGUAAAGCGCACGUAGGCGGCCAUUCAAGUCGGGGGUGAAAGCCCGGGGCUCAACCCCGGAACUGCCCUCGAAACUAGGUGGCUAGAAUCUUGGAGAGGUCAGUGGAAUUCCGAGUGUAGAGGUGAAAUUCGUAGAUAUUCGGAAGAACACCAGUGGCGAAGGCGACUGACUGGACAAGUAUUGACGCUGAGGUGCGAAAGCGUGGGGAGCAAACAGG
Molecule: ribosomal RNA, 253 nt
Filed under: uncultured bacterium
Lineage: Bacteria
Description: partial 16S ribosomal RNA
Rfam family: Bacterial small subunit ribosomal RNA
Source: RNAcentral